GAUUCAGUUAAAGUAAAUAGAGCUGGCUAACCUGGUGCCAGCCGCCGCGGUUACACCAUGGGGCUCAAAUUGAUCCUCCUCGGCGUAAAGCGUGAUUUAAGAGAUACUACCAUGGUGUCAAAAAAACACUAAGCCGUGACACGCUUGUGUUUAAGAAGAACAGAAACGAAAGUUACACCAACCCAAUCAACUUGAACUCACGACAGCUAGGAAACAAACUGGGAUUAGAUACCCCACUAUGCCUAGCCGUAAACUUUAAUUUACACCUACAAUCGCCCGGGAACUACGAGCUAAGCUUAAAACCCAAAGGACUUGACGGUACCCCAAAUCCACCUAGAGGAGCCUGUCCUAUAAUCGAUAAUCCCCGUUUAACCUCACCACUUCUUGUUAAUCAGCCUGUAUACCUCCGUCGCCAGCUUACCGCGUGAGCGUCAUAAGUGAGCUUAAUGCCCAUACGCCAACACGUCAGGUCAAGGUGCAGCUAAUGAAGUGGGAAGAGAUGGGCUACACUCUCUAACAUAGAAAAAACGAAAGACUACCUAUGAAAUCUAGUCAGAAGGAGGAUUUAGUAGUAAAAAGAAAGCAGAGCAUUCUUUUUAAUUCGGCACUGGGGUGUGUACACACCGCCCGUCACCCUCUUCAAGGCCUAAUCAAAGUACAUAACAUAACUUUGCCACAUAGAAGAGGCAAGUCGUAACAUGGUAAGUAUACCGGAAGGUGUGCUUGGAAA
RNAcentral lists this ribosomal RNA (730 nucleotides) under Leptodactylus elenae. RNAcentral's name for it is "partial small subunit ribosomal RNA". It matches the Rfam family "Bacterial small subunit ribosomal RNA", at positions 471 to 1522 of the family's 1533-position model. The record is from RNAcentral. Lineage: Eukaryota; Metazoa; Chordata; Amphibia; Anura; Leptodactylidae.